Molecule: long non-coding RNA, 719 nt
Filed under: Populus tremula
Lineage: Eukaryota; Viridiplantae; Streptophyta; Magnoliopsida; Malpighiales; Salicaceae
Description: long non-coding RNA (PTRE_LNC001331)
Source: RNAcentral
AGCAUUAAUUUUGUUUGGCAUAAUUAAACUUCAUUAAUAAUUCUCAUGGGAGAUUACAAACAAGAGGACUGCAUAUUAAUGACCGAAAUUAAAACCUCAAAAGAUACCAUGAAACUCACUAAGAACUUCAUUUAUUUUUCUCACGUAAAUAACAUUUUACAGAUUUAUAGAGACACUAUGAGCCGUCCAUACUUUUUAAGCAGACAACCUUGCUUGCUUCUUCUAAUCCACUGGAGAGCCUCAUUUAUUUUUCUCACGUAAAUAACAUUUUACAGAUUUAUAGAGACACUAUGAGCCGUCCAUACUUUUUAAGCAGACAACCUUGCUUGCUUCUUCUAAUCCACUGGAGAGCCUCAUUUAUUUUUCUCACAUAAAUAGUUCUCAUCAUUUUACAUAUUGAUAAAGACAGCAGAAGCUCUCCAUACUUUGAAGCACUCAACCUUGCUUGCUUCUAAUCUUAAAGGCGCCGCCCACAAUUACGCUUGUAAGGAAGACAUGGUGUUGGUGUUGGUGGUUGGCUAGGGACGCAAUAUCGUUGACCCCUACCGCAAUUGAAUGGAACUUUGCCGGGGUCACCACCUGGGGUUUUUGUAGCUGAAAGAUUUGCACACACGUAUACAUAAGUUAGCUUGUUAAUUAGAUAAUAGCUGAAAUUGUUUGCAAUACACAAAGAGAUUACACAGACAAAAAAUAAUAAUAAAAUGAACUGCUUUUCUUAG